Molecule: non-coding RNA, 3855 nt
Organism: Aegilops tauschii subsp. strangulata
Lineage: Eukaryota; Viridiplantae; Streptophyta; Magnoliopsida; Poales; Poaceae
Source: RefSeq, a predicted model, not a curated record
AGUUAACACGAACCGGUACGCCCGAGCGAAAGGAAAGGAAAUCAGCCCCACUCCCCCCGCAUGCCCUGCCUCCUAUCCCAUCUCCACCCCCUGCCACGCCCCUCACCGCGCGCCGCCACCGCCCACCCCGCCGGCGCGCCCACCCUACCCGACCGGCUACACGCGGAUGACGCUCGAGCGGACCUUCUGGAUCGGUUCAACACGGCGGCUCGAGCGGUUGGGGUGGCACGGCUGCUCGAUGCAGAACGGCGGCGGCGGCUGGAGCUUGCAGGGGCCGGAUUCGUGCGUGCCAGGGGUUGGGGAGGCUAAUCCGAAGGCGGGCGGCUAGGCGGGGGCUCACCGGUGACGACGAGGAAAGCCGGAGCGAGGGAUCCGGCGACCUAGGCAGCAGCUCGCUAAAGCCGGGCGACGGUGGACGGGGGCGUGAGACGGAGGGAUCCGGCGUGGCAGCGGAAUUCCUUGCAGGUAGAGAGCUCCAGGCCAUGGCGGGGCUUCAGUUUUCCCUGGUGGAAAAGAGAGAAAGAGGAGGAUUCAGGGAGGAGGAGAAGUAGGGAGAAGAAGGUGCGGGUGCGAGCUUGGGGAAGAGGGAGCCGAACGUCAAGUGAAAGACAGGGAGGAUCAGGGAUUCUUCUUAGCCGGCGUGUGCAGAGAAGAUGAACCAUGCAAAAACUCAGGGUGGACCACGGGGUCUUCACUGCUGGCGGAACAGGGCAUGGCUGCUACCAGGGUGAUCCAAAGGGAGUAUCUAGGUAUUAAUAUCUGUGAUGUGGCUAGCAAUGUUGGCAACAGAGCUACCUGGAACUUUUGAUUUUGGUGCCAAUAUGGAUGGAUUCAACUGGGUGACCCUCUGUCAGCUAAAGAGUUUUGAAUGCUGAAAACAUCAACCAAGGUACAACAGAGCCUCCUUAGACAAUUCUAUGUUAGUUUUCCAAUGUAGCUGACCAGCUAAGGCCUGAGCUCCUUAACUUUCCAUCUUCAGCAACUAUUUUCGAGGACAUCCUUGUGAUUUUAAAGAUGAAGAAGAGAGUUCUCUUACUAGCUAUAUAUAUUAUUACUAAUCAAGGUGCGCCAGUCCCUUGAUUGUUCUUCAUGCAAUGAUGUGUUUGACAUGCUUGAAAAAAAAACAAGAGACUUACUCAGUGGUCAAGGGCAGAAUGUAGACUUACUGUAACUAGCUACCAAUGUGACAUACUAUUGGUCAGGUUUCACAACUAAAUAAUAUGCUGGAGUUCUCCUAUUCUGGAACAAAUUCACCAUGCCUGGAAUUGAUCAUUCAGUGGUGCAGUUCAAAUGGUGUAUCCUCCGUUUGUCAUAAGUUCUGAGGAUCUUAUGAUCAAGAUAGAUCAUGAUGGGUUUCAUACGUGAAAUUUUGCUUAAUGGAUGCUCCAAGUUUCCUCUGAUCAGCAUACCUAUGGGAUACAGGCCUCUGUUUUCCCCUGGUACUGCUGAACUUUUGUUUCCUCUGAUGCAGGAGCAACACUUCCAGUUUGAUUGCAUGAGGGAAGGGUCUGACUUCAAUUGCUUCAGGGUAGUAGUACAUGUUUUUCUUUCUUUGCGUAGAAGCGUAGUACAUGGGGUAAAACAUGUCGAGAACUGAACUUUAGUAGCAAGGACAACAAAGUUAUCUGAAAAUACUGUCUAGAUGGUCAUAGAACGCCAAACAGUAAGAAAAACUGUAAAGAAAUGCGAACCAAAAGGAAGGGGCAAAUUGUUCUGUAAUGUGAGAGGUCCGAUUGAACUCUGUAGUGGUUAUCUUAUUUCUAUUGGUUCUGUGCUAACUUGCUUAUGUAUGCAAGUUACUCUGAAGCAACACGAUAAACAAGUACAUUCAUUUUGAUCAUGAAAAUAAGGUCUAUCUAGCAUAAUCUAAUUUGUGUAUCGUUAUUUCGUACAUUCAUUUUUACUUUGGUCCAUAAGUUUCCAGAGAUCUUCUAUUUGAAACAACCAACCCGUUCUUCUUUCGAGAAUGUAGAAGCUAUAUAAGUAUACUUAUUUUCAAUAUAUGUUGAAGAAUUUGGUACCAACAGAAUUUUCCGCAACUAACAGUGUGCACAUUUGUCAUGGUUGAAUUUCUUUUAUUAUUGAAAACCUAAGAUUAGAAGUAUACCGAGAGUCAUGGUUAGAAGUUGAAUGCUAAGGGGUGUAAUAAUUGAUUUGGGUCAUAAUAAAUUAAAUCAAAUGUGAUGAUUUUUUUCUCCCGUUGCAACGCACAGGCCUUUUUGCUAGGAGAGGUAGGAGAAGAAGGAAGGGUGCGGCAGGGUGCAGCGGUGCGAGGGCACUGGUCUCCCGCGUGAGGAGCGCCUCUCCUCGGGAGGAUCUGGAGGGAGUGAGUGAAACUCAAAUCCACUUCAGAGCAAGGUACUGUUGUAGAAGUACGAAGAAGCAAGCUGACCAGAUGUACAAGUAGUAGCCGGCAACGACGAUGAAGCAAGCCAACCAGAUGUGCACGAAACGACCAUACAUCAUACCUGAUUGAUCCUCCGGUACGUGUUUCAUUGGCCAAUAGCCCAUGCUAGCUAGCUAGCAACCAUGUAAAUUUCCCACGCUUGAUUUAUUCCUUUAGGACUUUAUUAAUUUUAUAUGUUCUUCCCAUGAUUAUCUAGAUAAUACUAACUGUUGAUGUUUCUUUCACGCAUACAUGGCUUUGCUAGGAGUUUUUCCACUGGUGAGGUCUGAACUCUGAAUACUAUGAACUUAAGGAUAAAUCUUAUAGCAGAUCAAAAUCAUGGUCCACGCAAAAAAAAAAGAGAUCAGAAUCAUGGUUGUGCUGAUUCCAUAGGGGCCUCAUGAUGGUUUGUGUUCUUUUAUUCAAAUGAAAAAACCAAGAUUAUUAUUGUAACUGUUACAGUUGUACUAGCAGGAUUAUCCUAGAAGCUGUGCCAAUUUUUCAUCAAUUGAUAACACAGUAAGCAUGUUAAAGUCCAGCAAUUGACUUGGCUUAUUGUUUUGGAAAUCGCAACCGGUGCUUUCCUGCUUGUUUUUAUGAUCACUUGUGUUGUUACUGCCUCCAGAAGCUGCAAUCUAAGCCUUCUAUAAGAAUAUCAUCACAGAGUAGAUCAAAAAGUUGGAGCGACGAGAUAACAGCACUGAUUGGCUGUUCAUGAGCACUGGACAACCAGCACAAGAGCAAGGCCUUCUUCAAGGUACCAACCAUAAUGCAGCUAAAGCUGAAGAAAUGUUUACGCAAAGAACAUUCAUUUUCACAUCACUUGGGUGCUGGUUCAGGCUGAUGUGUGCAUCUCCAAACGAAGAAGCAGAUAUCCACUAAGAAGAAACUCAUCCGAGUUCUCAAGUUGAAAUCAAAUUGGCCAGCUACGUUUCAAAGUAUGAGAUGUGGUUGGGCAAUAAAUUGCAUCCCCUAUGCCAAGCCUACCGAGUUCACUAAAGCAACAAGCAGGGGAUCACCUUGAUGCAUAUUGCCAUCACAUUCAGACCCAAAGAUCUGGGAGCUGCAGUCUGGGCAUGAUUAACUGGGCAGUGCCAAAGUCAAGCUUCCGGAUGGUGGCGACAACAAUGGUGGCUGGAGGCGACGGGAUUAGCAGCGUGGCAAACAGUAGCGCGCAGCGUUUCACGGUAGGGCGUGUGGCCAGUGCUUGCGGCGGUUGUGGAUGAUGAAGUACUGGACCUGCGGUGGACGACCAUCCGCAAGAUCUACAUCAUCAUCUUUGGGUCAGUUCGCCAUGAAGGCCAUUCUGCGAACGAGGUUGUUCAUGUCCCUCCUCAUGUACAGUUGUACUUCUAUUCUAGGAUUUCAACUCUGCACUCCAUUCCGCGUCCUGAAUAUUCAGAGUCUCGAGUUUGCAUGAGUCUCGAUUUGAUUAAAUGAACAGGUCAGUAAGAUAGAUUUUUGGUCGA